Molecule: ribosomal RNA, 255 nt
Filed under: Escherichia coli
Lineage: Bacteria; Pseudomonadati; Pseudomonadota; Gammaproteobacteria; Enterobacterales; Enterobacteriaceae
Description: partial 23S ribosomal RNA
Rfam family: Bacterial large subunit ribosomal RNA
Source: RNAcentral
AUCCUCCAAGGCUAAAUACUCCUGACUGACCGAUAGUGAACCAGUACCGUGAGGGAAAGGCGAAAAGAACCCCGGCGAGGGGAGUGAAAAAGAACCUGAAACCGUGUACGUACAAGCAGUGGGAGCAUGCUUCGGCGUGUGACUGCGUACCUUUUGUAUAAUGGGUCAGCGACUUAUAUUCUGUAGCAAGGUUAACCGAAUAGGGGAGCCGAAGGGAAACCGAGUCUUAACUGGGCGUUAAGUUGCAGGGUAUAG